RNAcentral lists this ribosomal RNA (652 nucleotides) under uncultured Alphaproteobacteria bacterium. RNAcentral describes it as "bacterial SSU rRNA". It matches the Rfam family "Bacterial small subunit ribosomal RNA", at positions 88 to 775 of the family's 1533-position model. The record is from RNAcentral. Lineage: Bacteria; Pseudomonadati; Pseudomonadota; Alphaproteobacteria.
AAUGGGAGCGGCAGACGGGUGAGUAACACGUGGGGAUCUACCCAAUGGUACGGAAUAACCCAGGGAAACUUGGAUUAAUACCGUAUGUGCCCUUCGGGGGAAAGAUUUAUCGCCAUUGGAUGAACCCGCGUCGGAUUAGCUAGUUGGUGAGGUAAAGGCUCACCAAGGCGACGAUCCGUAGCUGGUCUGAGAGGAUGAUCAGCCACACUGGGACUGAGACACGGCCCAGACUCCUACGGGAGGCAGCAGUGGGGAAUAUUGGACAAUGGGCGCAAGCCUGAUCCAGCCAUGCCGCGUGUGUGAUGAAGGCCUUAGGGUUGUAAAGCACUUUCGCCGGUGAAGAUAAUGACGGUAACCGGAGAAGAAGCCCCGGCUAACUUCGUGCCAGCAGCCGCGGUAAUACGAAGGGGGCUAGCGUUGCUCGGAAUCACUGGGCGUAAAGCGCACGUAGGCGGAUCGUUAAGUCAGGGGUGAAAUCCUGGAGCUCAACUCCAGAACUGCCCUUGAUACUGGCGAUCUCGAGUUCGAGAGAGGUUGGUGGAACUCCGAGUGUAGAGGUGAAAUUCGUAGAUAUUCGGAAGAACACCAGUGGCGAAGGCGGCCAACUGGCUCGAUACUGACGCUGAGGUGCGAAAGCGUGGGGAGCAAACAG